AAUAAUGUGCCUGAAAAUAAUAAGGAUUAUUUUGAUAAAAUAAUUAUGUAUAAUACAUUAUUU
RNAcentral lists this transfer RNA (63 nucleotides) under Euaspis polynesia. RNAcentral describes it as "tRNA-Ile". Lineage: Eukaryota; Metazoa; Arthropoda; Insecta; Hymenoptera; Megachilidae. The record is from RNAcentral.